GACGAACGCUGGCGGCGUGCCUAAUACAUGCAAGUUGAGCGAUGAAGAUUGGUGCUUGCACCAAUUUGAAGAGCAGCGAACGGGUGAGUAACGCGUGGGGAAUCUGCCUUUGAGCGGGGGACAACAUUUGGAAACGAAUGCUAAUACCGCAUAACAACUUUAAACAUAAGUUUUAAGUUUGAAAGAUGCAAUUGCAUCACUCAAAGAUGAUCCCGCGUUGUAUUAGCUAGUUGGUGAGGUAAAGGCUCACCAAGGCGAUGAUACAUGGCCGACCUGAGAGGGUGAUCGGCCACAUUGGGACUGAGACACGGCCCAAACUCCUACGGGAGGCAGCAGUAGGGAAUCUUCGGCAAUGGACGAAAGUCUGACCGAGCAACGCCGCGUGAGUGAAGAAGGUUUUCGGAUCGUAAAACUCUGUUGGUAGAGAAGAACGUUGGUGAGAGUGGAAAGCUCAUCAAGUGACGGUAACUACCCAGAAAGGGACGGCUAACUACGUG
RNAcentral lists this ribosomal RNA (497 nucleotides) under uncultured bacterium. Its description in RNAcentral is "partial 16S ribosomal RNA". It matches the Rfam family "Bacterial small subunit ribosomal RNA", at positions 28 to 507 of the family's 1533-position model. The record is from RNAcentral.